This 3308-nucleotide long non-coding RNA is filed under the name Homo sapiens (human). RNAcentral's name for it is "HSALNT0205137". The record is from RNAcentral. Lineage: Eukaryota; Metazoa; Chordata; Mammalia; Primates; Hominidae.
UCCAACCUUAUCCACAGGGCAUACAUUUCAAGGCCCCCAGGAGAUACAUGAAACCAUGGAUAGCACUUAACACUGUAUUACAUUUUUCCUAUACAUACCAUGAUAAAGUUUAAUUUAAGAAUUAGGCAGAGUAAGAGAUCAACAACAACAACUAAAAACAGAACAAGUAUAACAACUAUAGCAAUAUGUUAGCAAUACUACUCUUAUGCUUUGGGGCCAUUAUGAAGUAAAACAUGGAUUACUUGAACAUAAGCACUGAUCUAUCAGGGCAGUUGAUAUGAUAAGGGAUAUGAUAAUCCAGACCAAAGAUGCUAUUUAGUGACUCAUGAGUGUUUAACAUAUACAACAUGGAGACUGUGGACAAAAGGACAAUUCAUGUCCCGGGAAGGACAGAGUGGGACAGUACAAUAUCUUAUCACACUACUCAGAAUGGUGUGCAAUUUAAAACUUAUGAAUUGUUCAUUUCUGGAAUUUUUCAUUUAAUAUUUUCAGACCACAGUUGACCUCAGGUAACUGAAAUGGAGGAAAAGGAAAAGACCACAGUUGACCUCAGCUGUUUGAGAUGAAAACUCCACUUUGGACUGGUACAGCCAAGAACGCAGGGCUCCCUUUCUCCCUGCAGGUCCCAAGAAAAAGGCCAUUUUCCAAAGACAGGCAAGACAGCAUUUCUCAUGCUUCCCCCGGCUACCUACUGUGGAGGCUAAGUUCCUGGUGAUUGUGGCCAAGAGGCAGAGAAUACUCUUCCACUAAGCUCCACCCUGUGCCUCUGAGAAUUCUGGGGUCCUGAUUGCCUUUGCUGUAACUCAUUGCUGUGAGAGGCAAGUCAAGAAGACCUAGUGCAGCUGCCUUCCCUAUCCACUGACAGCUCAGUUCCUGAAGUGGGAGUGUCUUCAGACAGAAGCACACCAUCGUCCACACCCACAGCAAAAACACUAUGGCUCAGGGACUUUGCCCUGGGGGAAGCAGUCCACAGUACAAAACUCCCAUCCCUCCCCUCAAAAUUGACUUUACUUGCAACAGUGCACGGAGAGGUUCCUAUGAAAGCUCUUGAACCAGUGAAAGUUGUGAUGAAGGGCAAUUGGGAAGAAUUGGUAGGUUUGUUUAAAAUAGAGACUGAAAUGUAAGCUGGUUAAUUUGCCAAAGAUUAACAGGGAGAGAGAUGGCUGGAAAAGCCCUCCUGUGGUCAGAACAAAUCUAAAAUACUGACUUCAGGAAUUUUCCCUUUGAAGUGCUAGUAUUUGAUUAGAUUAGUCUGUGGGGCAGGUUAUGUCCCAAAGCAUUAUUGAAAACAUUAGAGCAAUCAGCCUGCAAUUAGUGGAAUUUAACAACUACGAAUGGUCAGGAAAAGUGACAGUCAAAAUAACAAACAGACAAACAAGGCUGGCAGGAACUUUGUAGGUAAGCAGGACAAGUAGGUAGGGGUGAGCAGACACCAUAAUCAGGUUGUCUGUUCACCCUCGCCUGCUGAUUUAACAGGAAAUGUUCUUCUCUGUGCUGUGGCACCAUAUUGAUUGCUGAAGCUUAAAGUCAAGCCAAAAUUUAAGGGCCUGUGGGGAGGAAAGAAAAUCCACUAAAGUUCAGUCAAACCAAGUCAUUGGGUAAGUUAUUAGUAAUACUGGGCACUCGGUAGCAACUGACAAUUUGUACAUCUAGGAGCUGUCAAAUCCAUAUGCCAGGAGCUAAACAUAAUAGAGCAAUAGGAAAGAGACUCAAACCAUUUAUGUUUAAAUGCCCUCGGGACAUUAAAGAAAAAAAAGAAAAAUAUAAGGAUACAGAAUAUCAUGGCUAGACUCUAACAGACACUAAAAUGUAAGAAUUCAAAACAUUAUAAAUAGAAGCUAGAUUUGGUAAACAGCCAAAUAUAAUUUCUAUAAAAUAAAAUUUACAGUUACUAUAAUAAAAGAAUAACCUGAAAUGAGUAAGUUAUACAAUAGCUAAAGAAAAGUUAAUCAAUUGUUUUAAAAAUAGCAACAAUAACAAACCAAAAAUUGGAACAUGAACUGGCAAAAGAUUAUAAUCUAUAAUACAUAAAGUUUAAUAAAAAUAUAAUAUAGAAAAUGAUACAAAAAAGUGACGACUCAAGAAAAUAAAUGUACAAUGUCAGUAAACAUGUGACUUUAUAAGAAACUAAAACAAAUUUCUCAAUUACUAUAUUUCCAUUUCUCAAUUACUAUAUUAAAGAAGAAUUAAAAUCAUUGCUUAUAAACACUAGUCUAGAUUUAGGGAAAUUAAUCAUGUCAUGUAUAACCUUUGAUUGAAAGAUGAUUGUGGCCACUUUUGGGGAAUAAUUUGGCAUUGUUAACAGAAAAACAAAACUGUAAAAUAUUUAAAGUGGUUUAUUCUGAACUAAUAUGAGUGACUAUGGCUCAGGAAACAGUCUCAAGCAGUCCUGAGAAAGUGUAUCCGAGGUAUCCAGGGUAUGGUUUGGCUUUAUACCUUUUAGGUAAAACCAUUAAGUCAAUACAUUUUAGGUAAAUCAUAAGUCAAUACAUGGAAGUUGUAAGUUGGUUUAGCCUAAGGAGGCAGAAUACCUUGAAGUAGGGUGAUUCACAAGUCAUAGGUGGAUUCAGAGUUUCUGAUUGAUUGGCAGUUGGUUGAAAGAGUUAAGCUUUGCCUAAAGACUUGAAGUAAAAGCUUGAGUUAAGGUAAGGGGGAGUCAUGGAGGCCAAGGUUCUCAUGAGGCAGAUGAUGCCUCCAGGUAGCAGCCUUCAGAGAGAAUCAAUUAUAAAUGUGUCUUUUCAGACCUUAAAGGUUAGACUCUUUUAAUCUGUUCUAGAUCUGGGAAAGACAUAGGCCUACAAAGUGAAGGUCUGCUGCAUUAAUGGAGAUUCUCUACAGAUGCAAAUUUUCCCCACAAGAGAUGGUUUUGCAGGGCCAUUUCAAAACAUGUCAAAUUUAUUUUGAGGUAAAAUAUUUUUAUUUUCUUCAAGGUCUGCUAUCUGUCAUGUGAUGCUAUACCAGAUUCAAGUUGGAAUUUGGUAACUUAUUGUCACAGAGUCUAUUUUGUCAGUCUUACACUCUCUAUUUCAAUGUUAAUACUGAUCAGUUAUGCCUAAACUCCAAAAGGGAGAGGAUAUAAUGAGAACUGUCCAGCCUCCCUUCCAUCAUGGCCAACAAUCCAGCUUUUCAGGUUUCUCUGGGGUCCUCUAGGCCAAGAGGGGAUUUCAUUCAGUUGGUUGGGGGGCUUAGGAUUUUAUUUUUGGUUUACAGCAUUAUAUACUGACAUUUUAUGUGUGUGUCUUUGCCCUGACAUAUCUGCUUCUGGGAAUGUAUUUAAUAAAAUUCUCUUAAUGUGUGUAAAAAUAUAC